This 253-nucleotide ribosomal RNA is filed under the name uncultured bacterium. Its description in RNAcentral is "partial 16S ribosomal RNA". It matches the Rfam family "Bacterial small subunit ribosomal RNA", at positions 524 to 776 of the family's 1533-position model. The record is from RNAcentral.
UACGUAGGGUGCGAGCGUUAAUCGGAAUUACUGGGCGUAAAGCGUGCGCAGGCGGUCAUGCAAGACAGAUGUGAAAUCCCCGGGCUCAACCUGGGAAUUGCAUUUGUGACUGCAUGGCUGGAGUGCGGCAGAGGGGGAUGGAAUUCCGCGUGUAGCAGUGAAAUGCGUAGAUAUGCGGAGGAACACCGAUGGCGAAGGCAGCCCCCUGGGUCAAAACUGACGCUCAUGCACGAAAGCGUGGGGAGCAAACAGG